This is a long non-coding RNA of Podarcis raffonei (Aeolian wall lizard), 707 nucleotides long. RefSeq lists it as uncharacterized. The transcript is spliced from 2 exons. The record is from RefSeq and is a predicted model, not a curated record. Lineage: Eukaryota; Metazoa; Chordata; Lepidosauria; Squamata; Lacertidae.
UAAUUAGUGGGAAAUGUUUCUUGAUGUAGUAUACAGCCUUUUAUUCUGGGUAGUCCUUGGGGCUCUGAUGGCUUCAGUUACAGGCUUUAGUUUCUCUAUAACUUAUAAGCCAUGUGUGCCUCACUUCUUGCUGUCGUGUUUCGUGGACUGACACCCUCCACUCAUGAGCAAACAUCUGGAGAAGCAGAUUUACCUUUUCUUCUUGUGAAUGUAGCAAGGGUGGUAAACACCAGUGGCCAGUGGCAGGGAGGGUGGGGUGGGGGGGUAGAAGUUGGGAUGCCACAGCACCCAGAGAGUCACAGAGCCACUCCUGUUCAAAGGGCUGUGGAGUUGUUCCUCUCUUUCAUCCAGUUGUGAAUUAACUUCCUUCUCCCCACUUAUAUUUGUUUCUCUCUUUGCACAGGAUCUGCACAGGCCACGAAGGCUAAGCGAUGCCUUAACACCAAAGGUGGUGGUUGCUACCCUAUGCAUUGUCCCGAUACUCAUGAAAAGAUUGGAGAGUGUUUUCCUAGUGUUCCCUGUUGCAAAAGACGGGAGGAGUGAUAGAUGCCUUUGAAAAGUGGAAGAUGCUCCCUCUCUUCGAGAGCCGCUGGAUCCCGCUUGAUCCCCAGCUAGGGACUUCUUCUCCAAAGCAUCCAGAUUGAAAAAGCAACAUUUUCAAGGCUCACGUGAGCUUGUGCCUUGCAAUAAAAGCAGAUCCAAAAGCC